This 551-nucleotide ribosomal RNA is filed under the name Magnaporthaceae sp. LC8-6. Its description in RNAcentral is "SSU rRNA". It matches the Rfam family "Eukaryotic small subunit ribosomal RNA", at positions 52 to 604 of the family's 1831-position model. The record is from RNAcentral. Lineage: Eukaryota; Fungi; Ascomycota; Sordariomycetes; Magnaporthales; Magnaporthaceae.
UGCAUGUCUAAGUAUAAGCAAUUAUACAGCGAAACUGCGAAUGGCUCAUUAAAUCAGUUAUCGUUUAUUUGAUAGUACCUUACUACAUGGAUAACCGUGGUAAUUCUAGAGCUAAUACAUGCUGAAAACCCCGACUUCGGAAGGGGUGUAUUUAUUAGAUUAAAAGCCAAUGCCCUUCGGGGCUCACUGGUGAUUCAUGAUAACUUCUCGAAUCGCACGGCCUUGCGCCGGCGAUGGUUCAUUCAAAUUUCUGCCCUAUCAACUUUCGACGGCUGGGUCUUGGCCAGCCGUGGUGACAACGGGUAACGGAGGGUUAGGGCUCGACCCCGGAGAAAACGCCUGAGAAACGGCGUUUACAUCCAAGGAAGGCAGCAGGCGCGCAAAUNUUACCCAAUGCCGGACACGGCGAGGUAGUGACGAGAAAUACUGAUACAGGGCUCUUUUGGGUCUUGUAAUUGGAAUGAGUACAAUUUAAAUCUCUUAACGAGGAACAAUUGGAGGGCAAGUCUGGUGCCAGCAGCCGCGGUAAUUCCAGCUCCAAUAGCGUAUAU